Molecule: ribosomal RNA, 1204 nt
Filed under: Syncephalis pyriformis
Lineage: Eukaryota; Fungi; Zoopagomycota; Zoopagomycetes; Zoopagales; Piptocephalidaceae
Description: eukaryotic LSU rRNA
Rfam family: Eukaryotic large subunit ribosomal RNA
Source: RNAcentral
UCUUGAUCUCAGAUCAGGCAGGAUGACCCGCUGAACUUAAGCAUAUUAGUAAGCGGAGGAAAAGAAACUAACCAGGAUUCCCUNAGUAACGGCGAGUGAAGCGGGAAUAGCCCAAUCUGAAAAGCUAGUCUGCCCAGGAGCAGGUCUCGCAUUGUAGGUUGAUGAAGCGUUUCCUAGUGUUAGACCUUUCAGUUAAAGUUCCUUGGAACAGGACGUCAAAGAGGGUGAUAACCCCGUAAUUAACUGAAUGACACACCAGUCUAAUGCGCCUAUGGAGCGUUUUCUUAGAGUCGGAAUGUUUGGGAUUGCAUUCCAAAGCGGGUGGUAAACUCCAUCUAAGGCUAAAUACUGGCGAGAGACCGAUAGCGAACAAGUACCGUGAGGGAAAGUUGAAAAGCACUCUGGAGAGAGAGUCAAACAGUACGUGAAAUUGCUAGCAGGGAAACGUUGGGCACCAGUACACGGCAAUCAAUGUUAAUGAUCAGCCGGCCUAUUGGCGCGUUGUGGUGCGGCGACUAGUCUCGGGGAUUACCUUUGGUAACCCACGCAUUACAAGUGUGUUAACUGGCCGGUGCACUCUUUAACGGCCGGGUCAACAUCGGUUAACGCCGCCCGACAAGUCUAUAGACAAGGUAGCAUCCGUAAGCCUCGGCUUACUUUUGAACUUAUAGGUCUGUAGUACGAGGAUGGCGUUGACCGAGGAUAGGCGAUUCGUGCGCUUCGGCGCAGGGCGCGCUGGCCGAAUCAAGGCNGCCCGUGGUGCUAAGCAGCAUGCUGAUUAGUAUUCAUUCUAUUACACCUCGGUGUAAUAGCGGCGGUCGUUCGGNUAGAGCAAGCCACUAGCGAAUCAACGAAUGUUGACGAAAUGGUAUUCAACGACCCGUCUUGAAACACGGACCAAGGAGUCUAACAUGUCUGCGAGUGUUUGGGUGGAAAACCCUUACGCGGAAUGAAAGUGAGGAGGCAAGUUUCGCGCUUGUCCACUGGUAGGAAUCGAAGCGUUACGGCGCGACGACGCACUACCGACCGACCUGUUGCCCUCUGUGGCGGUAGGUUUGAGUUGGAGCAGUCCUGUUAGGACCCGAAAGAUGGUGAACUAUGCCUGAGCAGGAUGAAGUCAGAGGAAACUCUGAUGGAGGUCCGUAGCGGUUCUGACGUGCAAAUCGAUCGUCUGACUUGGGUAUAGGGGCGAAAGACUAAUCGA